Molecule: ribosomal RNA, 275 nt
Filed under: uncultured Dyadobacter sp.
Lineage: Bacteria; Pseudomonadati; Bacteroidota; Cytophagia; Cytophagales; Spirosomataceae
Description: partial 16S ribosomal RNA
Rfam family: Bacterial small subunit ribosomal RNA
Source: RNAcentral
CCUACGGGGGGCUGCAGUAGGGAAUAUUGGGCAAUGGAUGGAAGUCUGACCCAGCCAUGCCGCGUGCCGGAUGAAGGCGCUCUGCGUUGUAAACGGCUUUUAUUCGGGAAGAAGAGUAGGGAUGCGUCCUUAUGUGACGGUACCGAAUGAAUAAGCACCGGCUAACUCCGUGCCAGCAGCCGCGGUAAUACGGAGGGUGCGAGCGUUGUCCGGAUUUAUUGGGUUUAAAGGGUGCGUAGGUGGCUUAAUAAGUCAGUGGUGAAAUACGGUUGCUU